UGGGGAAUUUUGGACAAUGGGCGAAAGCCUGAUCCAGCAAUGCCGCGUGUGUGGAGAAGGCCUUCGGGUUGUAAAGCACUUUUGUCCGGAAAGAAAUCCUUGGCUCUAAUACAGUCGGGGGAUGACGGUACCGGAAGAAUAAGCACCGGCUAACUACGUGCCAGCAGCCGCGGUAAUACGUAGGGUGCAAGCGUUAAUCGGAAUUACUGGGCGUAAAGCGUGCGCAGGCGGUUUGCUAAGACCGAUGUGAAAUCCCCGGGCUCAACCUGGGAACUGCAUUGGUGACUGGCAGGCUAGAGUAUGGCAGAGGGGGGUAGAAUUCCACGUGUAGCAGUGAAAUGCGUAGAGAUGUGGAGGAAUACCGAUGGCGAAGGCAGCCCCCUGGGCCAAUACUGACGCUCAUGCACGAAAGCGUGGGGAGCAAACAGGAUUAGAUACCCUGGUAGUCCACGCCCUAAACGAUGUCAACUAGUUGUUGGGGAUUCAUUUCCUUAGUAACGUAGCUAACGCGUGAAGUUGACCGCCUGGGGAGUACGGUCGCAAGAUUAAAACUCAAAGGAAUUGACGGGGUCAUAGCUGUUUCCU
RNAcentral lists this ribosomal RNA (585 nucleotides) under uncultured bacterium. RNAcentral's name for it is "partial 16S ribosomal RNA". It matches the Rfam family "Bacterial small subunit ribosomal RNA", at positions 355 to 1375 of the family's 1533-position model. The record is from RNAcentral.